CUCUAAUAUCAAUCCAGAUGGCUAGUUUUAAGGAAGUAGUCCAGUGAAAUAUUAGAUAUUAAAGAGGUUUAUUCCUUCCUAUUUUAGGUAAAUAUGAAUCAUUAAAAUACAUACCGGUAGGUAUGACGAAAGUAUGUAUUUUAA
Molecule: small RNA, 144 nt
Organism: Clostridium sp. CAG:354
Lineage: Bacteria; Bacillati; Bacillota; Clostridia; Eubacteriales; Clostridiaceae
Rfam family: RT-14 RNA
About the family: Cloacimonetes, Firmicutes, Proteobacteria. Nearby to self-splicing intron genes
Source: Rfam